RNAcentral lists this ribosomal RNA (481 nucleotides) under Abiotrophia sp. canine oral taxon 229. Its description in RNAcentral is "bacterial SSU rRNA". It matches the Rfam family "Bacterial small subunit ribosomal RNA", at positions 9 to 471 of the family's 1533-position model. Lineage: Bacteria; Bacillati; Bacillota; Bacilli; Lactobacillales; Aerococcaceae. The record is from RNAcentral.
GAGUUUGAUUAUGGCUCAGGACGAACGCUGGCGGCGUGCCUAAUACAUGCAAGUCGAACGAACGGAAGUUAGAACUUGUUCUGAUGGAAGUGAGUGGCGAACGGGUGAGUAACACGUGGGUAACCUACCUUUAAGCGGGGGAUAACAGUCGGAAACGACUGCUAAUACCGCAUAGGACAUAGCGUCACAUGACGCAGUGAGGAAAGACGGUUUCGGCUGUCACUUAGAGAUGGACCCGCGGUGCAUUAGCUAGUUGGUAAGGUAACGGCUUACCAAGGCGAUGAUGCAUAGCCGACCUGAGAGGGUGAUCGGCCACAUUGGGACUGAGACACGGCCCAAACUCCUACGGGAGGCAGCAGUAGGGAAUCUUCCGCAAUGGACGAAAGUCUGACGGAGCAACGCCGCGUGAGUGAAGAAGGUCUUCGGAUCGUAAAGCUCUGUUGUUAGAGAAGAAGAGUUAUGGGAGUAACUGCCCAUAAUG